UAUCAAGCAUCCCUUCAACGAAAAGUUCCUUUAUUCAGUCGUAUAAAAAAUAUUUCAGCAUAAACCAUAGGCCCUAUUUAUUGACUUCUUGAAGUAUACAUUACCACCUACUUCUUUACAUAUAUUGUGCACUUCUUUUAUUAGAGCAAGCAUGAAUCAAUUUGCAGAAAGGCUCAGAGAAGACGAGAAACCUUUGACUCUGGCAAGCAGCGGUCAAGCGGAUCUGAUAUUCCGUAUUCGGCGACAAGAAAAACAUGUCAACAUCAAAAGGCAGGAAUUCCGAGAACAAAUUGGCGGGCAAGGCAUCGUGAAUUCAUAUCUGCAAUACGGAAUGCACGGAAAGCUGUCGUAGCUGUGCGUACAGGACAACCUUUACCACCACCCCCUCCGCCAGCAGACAAUCCAGAUGGUGGAUACAGUUAUUAUUGGGUUCUUGGCUUGAUAAUUCAGGGCCUUAUCCAG
Anneissia japonica is the source of this 462-nucleotide long non-coding RNA. RefSeq lists it as uncharacterized. The transcript is spliced from 3 exons. The record is from RefSeq and is a predicted model, not a curated record. NCBI's taxonomy places the organism in Eukaryota, Metazoa, Echinodermata, Crinoidea, Comatulida, Comatulidae.